This is a long non-coding RNA of Hemicordylus capensis (graceful crag lizard), 948 nucleotides long. RefSeq lists it as uncharacterized. The transcript has 3 exons. Lineage: Eukaryota; Metazoa; Chordata; Lepidosauria; Squamata; Cordylidae. The record is from RefSeq and is a predicted model, not a curated record.
GGCUGGCUGAGCAGACUCUGUGGAGAUUUGUAUGCAAAAUGGGAGCACUCCGUCUGCAAGCAAAUGGAGUUCAGAACAGGAGGCAACCUGCUGGGCUAAGCUGGCCCACCCACCGUCUGUUGGUUCCUGGAUCUCCUCGAUCACCCUGGGGACCUUGACUGUACCUGGGAGUGGUGCAGCCUCCAUCUUCUCGGCCCCAUGACUCAAAUGAAGGAACUGUCCCUCUCACUUGAGGGAGAUUGGCAGUUGGGAUGGAUUAGGAGGUGCUGAGGUGAGACAGAAGCCAGCAAGGAGUCCCCAUCCUCUGAUGUUGCAACCAGAUCCAUCCCAGAUCACUCUCAUCCUACCAAGUCACCAAGAGAGGGAGAGGACCUGAUGCUGCUGGACCUAGGUGACAGUACAAGGCAACUACUUUCAAGUACGUCCCUCCCCUCCUCCUCCUCCUCCUCCUCCUCCUCCUUUCAUAAACACAUAUUUGGAAGGUAUCUUUGCCAUUAUCGGCUUAGGGCCAAGUUACCUGAAGGACUGCCUACUCCAGCCUAUGAAAUCAUGUAGAGAGGCUUUCCUGCACAUCCCAUCACCACCUGAAACACAACUGUCGGUGACAUGUGAACGAACUUUCUCAGUGGUGGCCUCAGCCUUCUGGAACUCCCUGACCCUUGAUCUUAGGAUUACCCCCUCCCUGUUCAAUUUUAAAUGACAGUUGAAGACUUUUUUAAAAAAAUUCAACAGGUUUUCCUGUAACUUUGUGAUUGCCUUGUUUUAAUGACUGUCAUAUCCUGCUCUUCUACGAUUUUAGAGACUCUGUUGUUUUACUGGGUUUUAAUGAAUUUUCUUGUAAGCAACCACGAAUUCGUUCAGAAAGAAUGGUGGCAUAUAAAUCUUUGAAAGAAGUAAAUAAAUAAAUAGAAUUUUUUACAGAAAACCUCAUAGAAAGGCCUGUCAUAG